AUGUCUUCAGGGAUGAUUGCCGAGAUAAAUCAAGUUUUGCAGAAAAAUGGGUGAUGAGGUAACAUGACAUCUUUUGUUUAUUUAUAAUCUCUUCUUACAUUUGUAUAUUUGCAAAUGUGAUAGUGUCUUCAUAUAUGGCAAAAUAAGGGAGUUUGUAAUCUAUGUAGCUGAUCCAUGAAUUACAUUUCCAUCUUUUAACUAAGAAAAAACUAUUCCAUCCAAGGUUCCAAUAUGACCUUUUGUUGUGCCUCUUUCAGGUAAGAGAUGCCAUAACGUCAUAUCUUUUCGACUUUAUGCCGUUAACAGAAAACGCCUGAAAUCAACUUGGUGUACUUAUAGUUAUAUUUUCAGGCAACUCAUAUUAUUUGUUUUGCCACUGAUGCAGUAAGUUUGGUCAAGCUCUGGACUAGAUCACACCUCUUGGAAGAGAAACAUGUUGCUGUGUUUUCCUGGCCGGCCAAAGACGAGUGAAUCUGAACCGAUCUAAUAAGUGAGCUUCACCGCAUUUGCAUUCUUAUUCUCAGAGCUCACUCACUACAAUCAAUUCCACAUGAAAACAUUGCUGAACUUGAAAUAAGAUAGGGAUAGCUCUCAGUCUCAGAUACUCCGACUUGAUGACGCUGGGUAUGCAAUUGGGCUUGAUUUCUGGAUCUUUUUUUGCAACCGACAGUAAGUGCAUUUUGUUUUAGGCAAAAAAAUCUAACACUUAAAUGCAUUACGUAAAGACUAAAAAGACAAUGUCUCUCUUUGUAUUAUGGAUAUUGGUCUCUCAUCGUAUAAGGAAAUCCGAAAAGAGCCAAGGUU
Long non-coding RNA from Brassica oleracea var. oleracea, 804 nucleotides. RefSeq lists it as uncharacterized. The transcript has 3 exons. The record is from RefSeq and is a predicted model, not a curated record. NCBI's taxonomy places the organism in Eukaryota, Viridiplantae, Streptophyta, Magnoliopsida, Brassicales, Brassicaceae.